GAACUUAGGAAUAGUGAUGUCCAACUAUCUGUAAGAAAGGGAGGCU
This 46-nucleotide small RNA is filed under the name Archaeoglobus fulgidus. The record is from RNAcentral. Lineage: Archaea; Methanobacteriati; Methanobacteriota; Archaeoglobi; Archaeoglobales; Archaeoglobaceae.